Molecule: long non-coding RNA, 657 nt
Organism: Cannabis sativa
Lineage: Eukaryota; Viridiplantae; Streptophyta; Magnoliopsida; Rosales; Cannabaceae
Exons: 2
Source: RefSeq, a predicted model, not a curated record
UAUAUAUACCCCUCUACCUCUCCUUACUCCUUCACAAUUUCGUAGUGUUUUCUACCCUACAGAACUCACUCCCUAUAUGUAGACGUGUGUAUAAUAUAUUAAAAAAAUAAAUUAUGUAUUGUUGUUGCACCAAAGUGAAGAUGUGCAAACAGAAGGAUUGGUAUGCACUGCAACCGUGUGUUGUAGGUGCAUCAAGGGAAUUUCAGCAAUUCAAUAAAUCAUCUCAUAACAAAUUUUGGAAAUGUUGACGAAGGUUUGGGAUGGGUGGACUAGGGUGGCGGGAACUACUUCCAAAACGGCCACCCAAAUAUGUCAUCCUACCGAACCUUAACCUCCCGAGUGCACAAGGCGACCGAGGAAUGAGUGUUAUUAUAUUUGACACAACGGUGCGCCAGACUCUUGAAGAAAAGAUAUGCGGGAGGCGAAUGUCAGCGUUUUUUACAGUCUUAGGUCAAAUUGCUUCCUCAUGUACAACCUACUGAUUUGACCGUAUAUGGAUUGAUGGGAAAAUAUUAUUAAAAUGUUUAUUAUUUUAAAAUACAAAAAAGGUCUUCCUCAUUUAUUUAAAAUUGUUUUUUAGGGUUUUGAAGGAUUUGUUGUUUACUUUAAGUGUUGAAAUUAUUAUUUUAUUGUAAAAACGUACUUAGCUGAGUUUUA